This 366-nucleotide long non-coding RNA is filed under the name Androctonus crassicauda. Lineage: Eukaryota; Metazoa; Arthropoda; Arachnida; Scorpiones; Buthidae. The record is from RNAcentral.
GAUCUGUUGAUGACGUGGUGGCGGUCUGGAGGCGGGGGUUUGAUCCAAAAACCUUGGCGGGGAGGAUGACUAUUGCAGCAUGCGGCCUAGCUUUGAACCACCAACACGCAGGUGGGGAAGAGGCGCAUUUUUUGGAUGUGGGGCUGGAGCUGCAUGAUGGUGCACUCACUGCCACGGUUUGCAGAGGACCAACGUGUGAACCCGUUGUUGUCCCAAAGUGGUCCCGUGGCCCAGCCUCCUACAGGCUCUCUGCCUUUGGGUUUUGCUUUAAACGGGCGGAGCUCUGCAGCAGUAGGCAGGAGGAGAGGGAGAGGGAAUUGGGAUGUAUCUACAAAACCGGCUAUCUGUACGGAUGCACAAAGGGCU